RNAcentral lists this ribosomal RNA (422 nucleotides) under uncultured bacterium. RNAcentral describes it as "partial 16S ribosomal RNA". It matches the Rfam family "Bacterial small subunit ribosomal RNA", at positions 360 to 774 of the family's 1533-position model. The record is from RNAcentral.
AAUCUUGCACAAUGGGCGAAAGCCUGAUGGAGCAACGCCGCGUGAGUGAAGAAGGUUUUCGGAUCGUAAAACUCUGUUGUAAGGGAAGAACAAGUACAGUAGUAACUGGCUGUACCUUGACGGUACCUUAUGAGAACGCCACGGCUAAAUACGUGCCAGCAGCAGUGGUAAUACGUAGGUGGCAAGCGUUGUCGGGAAUUAUUGGGCGUAAAGCGCGCGCAGGCGGUCCUUUAAGGCUGAUGUGAAAGCCCACGGCUCAACCGUGGAGGGUCAUUGGAAACUGGGGGACUUGAGUGCAGAAGAGGAAAGUGGAAUUCCAAGUGUAUCGGUGAAAUGCGUAGAGAUUUGGAGGAACACCAGUGGCGAAGGCGACUUUCUGGUCUGUAACUGACGCUGAGGCGCGAAAGCGUGGGGAGCAAACA